GAUGAACUUGUUGGGUUUUAUGGUUGGUGCAAGGAUGUUGGGAUUGCAAGAUCAUCUGAGUUCCCUGCCGUGCAGAGAAUUACCGAUCAGCUGUUGGGAACACUUGAAGGAUUUUUGAAAGAAAAGACUAACAUGCCAUCUAAGAGUCCUGUGAGAAGUACGGAGGAGAAGGUUCCAAUUAAGCAAGAAUUGGAACCAGAUAUGAAUGAGGUCAAGGCUCUUCCUCC
Molecule: unclassified non-coding RNA, 227 nt
Filed under: Hevea brasiliensis (rubber tree)
Lineage: Eukaryota; Viridiplantae; Streptophyta; Magnoliopsida; Malpighiales; Euphorbiaceae
Source: RNAcentral